This 288-nucleotide ribosomal RNA is filed under the name Triticum aestivum (bread wheat). Its description in RNAcentral is "partial small subunit ribosomal RNA". The record is from RNAcentral. Lineage: Eukaryota; Viridiplantae; Streptophyta; Magnoliopsida; Poales; Poaceae.
AUGACUAUUUGUGUGUAUACAGCUGUUAUAUCCUACGCUACUCUCACAAUUUUGAUCCCAAGUUAUGUGCUUUGUCUGUAUAACUGUACCUUAUUUUGCAGUGGCUGCCGGGGCAGCAGCUUCACACUACCACACCGCCCUAGGCUUCAAAAUCUGGUAAUGCAACACCCCCUCCGCCUCCUUAGUUCGGAAAUUGGUUGGUGGUGUACAGUGGAGACUAAAAAUUCAGUGGAGGCUUCUUUCCACAAUUAUGUUCAUCUCAGCCAUAAGAUAGAGAGAGAUCAAUAG